This 299-nucleotide long non-coding RNA is filed under the name Myripristis murdjan (pinecone soldierfish). RNAcentral describes it as "lncRNA (ENSMMDG00005003787.1)". The record is from RNAcentral. Lineage: Eukaryota; Metazoa; Chordata; Actinopteri; Holocentriformes; Holocentridae.
AUCAGUGAAAUUCUGGGAAUCAGAAAAAGCAGUAGCCAGCAUGAGGAAGGUGGGGACGUCUCCUGUAGCGUGUACCACGAGCACCAGUGUUCCUGUGUCAAGGCCUGGGGACAGACUGAACCCUGCCCAACCUCCAUCUCCUGCCUGACCUUUCACCCCAGCCUAUCAACCAGACACAACCCAAACCUUCCAGGGUCUCCAUGUCAUUACAGCUGAGUGGAGACACAAACUGCUCAUAUCAGCUCUACAAAGAAGAGAUCAUCCCAGCGUUGUCAAAAACAAGACUUCACAAAUGGAGG